This 466-nucleotide ribosomal RNA is filed under the name uncultured bacterium. Its description in RNAcentral is "partial 16S ribosomal RNA". It matches the Rfam family "Bacterial small subunit ribosomal RNA", at positions 28 to 507 of the family's 1533-position model. The record is from RNAcentral.
GAUGAACGCUGGCGGCGUGCUUAACACAUGCAAGUCGAACGAUGAAGCCCAGCUUGCUGGGUGGAUUAGUGGCGAACGGGUGAGUAACACGUGAGUAACCUGCCCUUAACUCUGGGAUAAGCCUGGGAAACUGGGUCUAAUACCGGAUAGGAGCGCCUACCGCAUGGUGGGUGUUGGAAAGAUUUAUCGGUUUUGGAUGGACUCGCGGCCUAUCAGCUUGUUGGUGAGGUAAUGGCUCACCAAGGCGACGACGGGUAGCCGGCCUGAGAGGGUGACCGGCCACACUGGGACUGAGACACGGCCCAGACUCCUCUGGGAGGCAGCAGUGGGGAAUAUUGCACAAUGGGCGAAAGCCUGAUGCAGCGACGCCGCGUGAGGGAUGACGGCCUUCGGGUUGUAAACCUCUUUCAGUAGGGAAGAAGCGAAAGUGACGGUACCUGCAGAAGAAGCACCGGCUAACUACGUG